Molecule: ribosomal RNA, 507 nt
Filed under: uncultured bacterium
Lineage: Bacteria
Description: bacterial SSU rRNA
Rfam family: Bacterial small subunit ribosomal RNA
Source: RNAcentral
GAGUUUGAUCAUGGCUCAGAUUGAACGCUGGCGGCAGGCCUAACACAUGCAAGUCGAGCGGUAGAGAGAAGCUUGCUUCUCUUGAGAGCGGCGGACGGGUGAGUAAUGCCUAGGAAUCUGCCUGGUAGUGGGGGAUAACGCUCGGAAACGGACGCUAAUACCGCAUACGUCCUACGGGAGAAAGCAGGGGACCUUCGGGCCUUGCGCUAUCAGAUGAGCCUAGGUCGGAUUAGCUAGUUGGUGAGGUAAUGGCUCACCAAGGCGACGAUCCGUAACUGGUCUGAGAGGAUGAUCAGUCACACUGGAACUGAGACACGGUCCAGACUCCUACGGGAGGCAGCAGUGGGGAAUAUUGGACAAUGGGCGAAAGCCUGAUCCAGCCAUGCCGCGUGUGUGAAGAAGGUCUUCGGAUUGUAAAGCACUUUAAGUUGGGAGGAAGGGCAGUAAAUUAAUACUUUGCUGUUUUGACGUUACCGACAGAAUAAGCACCGGCUAACUCUGUGCCAG